GCGCCAGACUCCUACGGGAGGCAGCAGUGAGGAAUAUUGGUCAAUGGCCGAGAGGCUGAACCAGCCAAGUCGCGUGAGGGAAGACGGCCCUACGGGUUGUAAACCUCUUUUGUCAGGGAGCAAUGGCGUCCACGUGUGGGCGUAUGGAGAGUACCUGAAGAAAAAGCAUCGGCUAACUCCGUGCCAGCAGCCGCGGUAAUACGGAGGAUGCGAGCGUUAUCCGGAUUUAUUGGGUUUAAAGGGUGCGUAGGCGGGACCUUAAGUCAGCGGUAAAAUUGCGGUGCUCAACGCCGUAGAGCCGUUGAAACUGGGGUUCUUGAGUGAGCGAGAAGUAUGCGGAAUGCGUGGUGUAGCGGUGAAAUGCUUAGAUAUUGCGCAGAACUCCGAUUGCGAAGGCAGCAUACCGGCGGCGAUCUGACGCUGAGGCACGAAAGCGUGGGUAUCGAACAGGAUUAGAUACCCGAGUA
This 467-nucleotide ribosomal RNA is filed under the name uncultured bacterium. RNAcentral's name for it is "bacterial SSU rRNA". It matches the Rfam family "Bacterial small subunit ribosomal RNA", at positions 328 to 792 of the family's 1533-position model. The record is from RNAcentral.